This 2878-nucleotide ribosomal RNA is filed under the name Stenotrophomonas maltophilia. Its description in RNAcentral is "bacterial LSU rRNA". It matches the Rfam family "Bacterial large subunit ribosomal RNA". Lineage: Bacteria; Pseudomonadati; Pseudomonadota; Gammaproteobacteria; Lysobacterales; Lysobacteraceae. The record is from RNAcentral.
UCAAGCGAAUAAGCGCACACGGUGGAUGCCUUGGCGGUCAGAGGCGAUGAAGGACGUGGCAGCCUGCGAAAAGUAUCGGGGAGCUGGCAACAAGCUUUGAUCCGGUAAUGUCCGAAUGGGGAAACCCACCCGCUUGCGGGUAUCCUGCAGUGAAUACAUAGCUGCUGGAAGCGAACCUGGUGAACUGAAAUAUCUAAGUAACCAGAGGAAAAGAAAUCAACCGAGAUUCCGUAAGUAGCGACGAGCGAACGCGGACUAGCCCUUAAGCUGAUUUGGUUCUAGGAAAACGCUCUGGAAAGAGCGGCCAUAGAAGGUGAUAGCCCUGUAUCUGAAAGGGCCAUUUCAGUGAAGACGAGUAGGGCGGGGCACGUGAAACCCUGUCUGAACAUGGGGGGACCAUCCUCCAAGGCUAAAUACUACUGACCGACCGAUAGUGAACCAGUACCGUGAGGGAAAGGCGAAAAGAACCCCGGAGAGGGGAGUGAAAUAGAACCUGAAACCGUGUGCGUACAAGCAGUAGGAGCUCCGCAAGGAGUGACUGCGUACCUUUUGUAUAAUGGGUCAGCGACUUACUGUUCGUGGCAAGCUUAACCGUAUAGGGGAGGCGAAGGGAAACCGAGUCUGAUAAGGGCGCAUAGUCGCGGGCAGUAGACCCGAAACCGGGUGAUCUAGUCAUGCCCAGGGUGAAGGUGCGGUAACACGCACUGGAGGCCCGAACCCACUCCCGUUGCAAAGGUAGGGGAUGAGGUGUGAUUAGGAGUGAAAAGCUAAUCGAACCCGGAGAUAGCUGGUUCUCCUCGAAAGCUAUUUAGGUAGCGCCUCAUAUGUAUCCUCUCGGGGGUAGAGCACUGUUAUGGCUAGGGGGUCAUCGCGACUUACCAAACCAUUGCAAACUCCGAAUACCGAGACGGACUGUAUGGGAGACACACGGCGGGUGCUAACGUCCGUCGUGAAAAGGGAAACAACCCAGACCCACAGCUAAGGUCCCAAAUUCACUGCUAAGUGGAAAACCAUGUGGAAAGGCACAGACAGCCAGGAGGUUGGCUUAGAAGCAGCCACCCUUUAAAGAAAGCGUAAUAGCUCACUGGUCGAGUCGGUCUGCGGGGAAGAUUUAACGGGGCUAAGCAGUGAACCGAAGCUUGGGGUGCAUAACUUUGUUAUGCGCGGUAGAGGAGCGUUCCGUAAGCCGUUGAAGGUGGAUUGAGAAGUCUGCUGGAGGUAUCGGAAGUGCGAAUGCUGACAUGAGUAACGAUAAUGCGGGUGAAAAACCCGCACGCCGAAAGCCCAAGGUUUCCUUGCGCAACGUUAAUCGGCGCAGGGUGAGUCGGCCCCUAAGGCGAGGACGAAAGUCGUAGUCGAUGGGAAGCAGGUUAAUAUUCCUGCACCUCGCGUAAGUGCGAUGGAGGGACGGAGAAGGUUAGGUGUACCAGGCGUUGGUUGUCCUGGGGAAAGGCGGUAGGUUUGGAUCUUUGGCAAAUCCGGGAUCCUUCAAGACCGAGCACCGAGACGAGCCUUUAUGGCAAAGUCACUGAUACCACGCUUCCAGGAAAAGCUCCUAAGCUUCAGCUUACGCAGACCGUACCGUAAACCGACACAGGUGGGUAGGAUGAGAAUUCUCAGGCGCUUGAGAGAACUCGGGUGAAGGAACUAGGCAACAUGGCACCGUAACUUCGGGAGAAGGUGCACCCUUUUUGGUGGCUCGUGCGAGCUAUAGCUGAAGAGGGUCGCAGUAACCAGGCCGCUGCGACUGUUUAUCAAAAACACAGCACUCUGCAAACACGAAAGUGGACGUAUAGGGUGUGACGCCUGCCCGGUGCUGGAAGGUUAAUUGAUGGGGUCAGCCGCAAGGCGAAGCUCUUGAUCGAAGCCCCAGUAAACGGCGGCCGUAACUAUAACGGUCCUAAGGUAGCGAAAUUCCUUGUCGGGUAAGUUCCGACCUGCACGAAUGGCGUAACGACAGCGGCGCUGUCUCCACCCGAGACUCAGUGAAAUUGAAAUCGCUGUGAAGAUGCAGCGUUCCCGUGGCAAGACGGAAAGACCCCGUGAACCUUUACUAUAGCUUUACACUGAACGUUGAGUUCGUCUGUGUAGGAUAGGUGGGAGGCUAUGAAACUGUGGCGCUAGCUGCAGUGGAGCCAUCCUUGAAAUACCACCCUGUCGUGCUUGACGUUCUAACCUGGGCCCAUUAUCUGGGUCGGGGACCGUGUAUGGUGGGUAGUUUGACUGGGGCGGUCUCCUCCUAAAGAGUAACGGAGGAGCUCGAAGGUACGCUCAGCGCGGUCGGACAUCGCGCACUGUGUGCAAAGGCAUAAGCGUGCUUGACUGCAAGAUCGACGGAUCAAGCAGGUAGGAAACUAGGACUUAGUGAUCCGGUGGUUCUGUAUGGAAGGGCCAUCGCUCAACGGAUAAAAGGUACUCCGGGGAUAACAGGCUGAUACCGCCCAAGAGUUCAUAUCGACGGCGGUGUUUGGCACCUCGAUGUCGGCUCAUCACAUCCUGGGGCUGUAGUCGGUCCCAAGGGUAUGGCUGUUCGCCAUUUAAAGUGGUACGCGAGCUGGGUUCAGAACGUCGUGAGACAGUUCGGUCCCUAUCUGCCAUGGGCGUUGGAGAUUUGAGAGGGGCUGCUCCUAGUACGAGAGGACCGGAGUGGACGAACCUCUGGUGUUCCGGUUGUCACGCCAGUGGCAUUGCCGGGUAGCUAUGUUCGGAAGCGAUAACCGCUGAAAGCAUCUAAGCGGGAAGCGCGCCUCAAGAUGAGAUCUCCCGGGGCACAAGCCCCCUGAAGGAACCAUGUAGACUACGUGGUUGAUAGGUCAGGUGUGUAAGUACAGCAAUGUAUUGAGCUAACUGAUACUAAUGAUCCGAGAGGCUUGACCAU